Molecule: ribosomal RNA, 492 nt
Filed under: uncultured bacterium
Lineage: Bacteria
Description: partial 16S ribosomal RNA
Rfam family: Bacterial small subunit ribosomal RNA
Source: RNAcentral
AGUGAACGCUGGCGGUAGGCCUAACACAUGCAAGUCGAACGGCAGCACAGUAAGAGCUUGCUCUUACGGGUGGCGAGUGGCGGACGGGUGAGGAAUACAUCGGAAUCUACUUUUUCGUGGGUGAUAACGUAGGGAAACUUACGCUACUACCGCAUAUGACCUACGGGUGAAAGCAUGGGAUCUUCGGGCCUUUCGCGAUUGAAUGAGCCGAUUUCGGAUUAGCUAGUUGGCGGGGUAAAGGCCCACCAAGGCAACGAUACGUAGCUGGUCUGAGAGGAUGAUCAGCCACACUGGAACUGAGACACGGUCCAGACUCCUACGGGAGGCAGCAGUGGGGAAUAUUGGACAAUGGGCGCAAGCCUGAUCCAGCCAUACCGCGUGAGUGAAGAAGGCCUUCGGGUUGUAAAGCCCUUUUGUUGGGAAAGAAAAGCAGCAGGUUAAUCCCCCGCUGUUCUGACGGUACCCAAAGAAUAAGCACCGGCUAACUUCGUG